UUAGGAUUUGAUUUAGGAUUUAGAAUUUGAUUAAGAUUUGAUUUAGGAUUUAGAAUUUGAUUAGGAUUUGAUUUAGUGUUAGGAUUUGGUUAGGAUUUGGUUUAGGAUUUAGAGUUUGGUUUAGGAUUUAUUAGAAUUUGAUUUAGGAUUAGGAUUUCGUUUAGGAUUUAGGAUUUAUUUAGGAUUUGAUUUAGGAAUAGGAUUUGGUUAGGAUUUGAUUUAGGAUUGGUUAGGAUUUGAUUUAGGAUUUAGAAUUUGGUUAGGAUUUUAUUUGAAUUUGUUUAGGGUUUAAGAUUUAGUUAGUUUUUGGCCUAAAUUUUGAAUGAAUUCUAAUAGAAUUUUAACUAGGAUUAAAUUAAGAUUGAAUUGAGAUGUAUUUGAGAUAUAUUUGUGA
Molecule: long non-coding RNA, 394 nt
Filed under: Physcomitrium patens
Lineage: Eukaryota; Viridiplantae; Streptophyta; Bryopsida; Funariales; Funariaceae
Description: long non-coding RNA (PPAT_LNC003278)
Source: RNAcentral